UGGGGAAUAUUGGACAAUGGGCGAAAGCCUGAUCCAGCCAUGCCGCGUGUGUGAAGAAGGUCUUCGGAUUGUAAAGCACUUUAAGUUGGGAGGAAGGGCAUUAACCUAAUACGUUAGUGUUUUGACGUUACCGACAGAAUAAGCACCGGCUAACUCUGUGCCAGCAGCCGCGGUAAUACAGAGGGUGCAAGCGUUAAUCGGAAUUACUGGGCGUAAAGCGCGCGUAGGUGGUUUGUUAAGUUGGAUGUGAAAUCCCCGGGCUCAACCUGGGAACUGCAUUCAAAACUGACUGACUAGAGUAUGGUAGAGGGUGGUGGAAUUUCCUGUGUAGCGGUGAAAUGCGUAGAUAUAGGAAGGAACACCAGUGGCGAAGGCGACCACCUGGACUAAUUCUGACACUGAGGUGCGAAAGCGUGGGGAGCAAACA
Molecule: ribosomal RNA, 427 nt
Filed under: uncultured bacterium
Lineage: Bacteria
Description: partial 16S ribosomal RNA
Rfam family: Bacterial small subunit ribosomal RNA
Source: RNAcentral